GACGAACGCUGGCGGCGUGCUUAACACAUGCAAGUCGAACGGAAAGGCCCUGCUUUUGUGGGGUGCUCGAGUGGCGAACGGGUGAGUAACACGUGAGUAACCUGCCCUUGACUUUGGGAUAACUUCAGGAAACUGGGGCUAAUACCGGAUAGGAGCUCCUGCUGCAUGGUGGGGGUUGGAAAGUUUCGGCGGUUGGGGAUGGACUCGCGGCUUAUCAGCUUGUUGGUGGGGUAGUGGCUUACCAAGGCUUUGACGGGUAGCCGGCCUGAGAGGGUGACCGGCCACAUUGGGACUGAGAUACGGCACAGACUCCUACGGUAGGCAGCAGUGGGGAAUAUUGCACAAUGGGCGGAAGCCUGAUGCAGCAACGCCGCGUGCGGGAUGACGGCCUUCGGGUUGGAAACCGCUUUCGCCUGUGACGAAGCGUGAGUGACGGUAAUGGGUAAAGAAGCACCGGCUAACUACGUG
This 468-nucleotide ribosomal RNA is filed under the name uncultured bacterium. RNAcentral's name for it is "partial 16S ribosomal RNA". It matches the Rfam family "Bacterial small subunit ribosomal RNA", at positions 28 to 507 of the family's 1533-position model. The record is from RNAcentral.